AUCAUUCACAAUGGGGGAAACCCUGAUCCAGCGACGCCGCGUGAGUGAAGAAGUAUCUCGGUAUGUAAAGCUCUGUCAGCAGGGAAGAAAGAAAUGACGGUACCUGACCAAGAAGCCCCNGCUAACUAAGUGCAAGCAGCCGCGGUAAUACGUAGGGGGCAAGCGUUAUCCGGAAUCACUGGGUGUAAAGGGAGCGUAGACGGUGAUGCAAGUCUGGAGUGAAAGGCGGGGGCCCAACCCCCGGACUGCUCUGGAAACUGUGUAACUGGAGUGCAGGAGAGGCAGGCGGAAUUCCUGGUGUAGCGGUGAAAUGCGUAGAUAUCAGGAGGAACACCGGUGGCGAAGGCGGCCUGCUGGACUGUAACUGACGUUGAGGCUCGAAAGCGUGGGGAGCAAA
This 397-nucleotide ribosomal RNA is filed under the name uncultured bacterium. RNAcentral's name for it is "bacterial SSU rRNA". It matches the Rfam family "Bacterial small subunit ribosomal RNA", at positions 361 to 772 of the family's 1533-position model. The record is from RNAcentral.